RNAcentral lists this ribosomal RNA (207 nucleotides) under uncultured bacterium. Its description in RNAcentral is "partial 16S ribosomal RNA". It matches the Rfam family "Bacterial small subunit ribosomal RNA", at positions 568 to 774 of the family's 1533-position model. The record is from RNAcentral.
AGCGCAGGCGGGAAGACAAGUUGGAAGUGAAAUCCAUGGGCUCAACCCAUGAACUGCUUUCAAAACCGUUUUUCUUGAGUAGUGCAGAGGUAGGCGGAAUUCCCGGUGUAGCGGUGGAAUGCGUAGAUAUCGGGAGGAACACCAGUGGCGAAGGCGGCCUACUGGGCACCAACUGACGCUGAGGCUCGAAAGCAUGGGUAGCAAACA